RNAcentral lists this ribosomal RNA (165 nucleotides) under uncultured bacterium. RNAcentral describes it as "partial 16S ribosomal RNA". It matches the Rfam family "Bacterial small subunit ribosomal RNA", at positions 1335 to 1500 of the family's 1533-position model. The record is from RNAcentral.
CUAGUAAUGGCAGGUCAGCAUACUGCCGUGAAUACGUUCCCGGGCCUUGUACACACCGCCCGUCACACCAUGAGAGUUGGAAAUACCCGAAGCCUGUGAGCUAACUUAAAGAGGCAGCAGUCGAAGGUAGAGCCAAUGAUUGGGGUGAAGUCGUAACAAGGUAUC